Molecule: ribosomal RNA, 518 nt
Filed under: Cherax communis
Lineage: Eukaryota; Metazoa; Arthropoda; Malacostraca; Decapoda; Parastacidae
Description: partial 16S ribosomal RNA
Rfam family: Bacterial large subunit ribosomal RNA
Source: RNAcentral
GUCUGUAUGAGAGUUAUAUAAAGUCUGGCCUGCCCAUUGGGGUACUAAAAGGCCGCGGUAUUGUGACCGUGCGAAGGUAGCAUAAUCAUUAGUCUUUUAAUUGGAGGUUGGUAUGAAUGGUCGGACGAGAAGUAAGCUGUCUUUAUCUCAUAGAUUGAAUUUAACUUUUAAGUGAAAAGGCUUAAAUGGGUUAGAGGGACGAUAAGACCCUAUAAAGUUUAUACAUGGAGUUAAUCAAGAGUGAUUUGGAAUAGUAAAGUUCAUUAUUAGCAAGAUGUUUAGUUGGGGUGACUAGAAUAUAAGUUAUAUAACUGUUUUUUGUUUUAAUCAGAGAUAUCUGUUUGUAUGGUCCCUUUUUAGGAUUAGAGAGUAAAUUACUUUAGGGAUAACAGCGUAAUUUUUUUUAAGAGUUCUUAUCGACAAAAGAGUUUGCGACCUCGAUGUUGAAUUAAAAAUUUCUUUGUGGCGUAGCAGUUACAAGAGAAGGUCUGUUCGACCUUUAAAUUUUUACAUGAUUU